This 245-nucleotide ribosomal RNA is filed under the name uncultured Acidobacterium sp. RNAcentral's name for it is "partial 16S ribosomal RNA". It matches the Rfam family "Bacterial small subunit ribosomal RNA", at positions 524 to 768 of the family's 1533-position model. Lineage: Bacteria; Pseudomonadati; Acidobacteriota; Terriglobia; Terriglobales; Acidobacteriaceae. The record is from RNAcentral.
UACGGAGGGGGCAAGCGUUAUUCGGAAUUACUGGGCGUAAAGCGCACGUAGGCGGCAGGGCAAGUCAAAGGUGAAAGCCCUCAGCUCAACUGAGGAACUGCCUUUGAAACUGCUUUGCUUGAGUCCGGGAGAGGAGAGCGGAAUUCCCAGUGUAGCGGUGAAAUGCGUAGAUACUGGGAGGAACACCGGUGGCGAAGGCGGCUCUCCGGACCGGCACUGACGCUGAGGUGCGAAAGCGUGGGUAG